GAUGAAGAACGUAGCAAAAUGCGAUAAGUAAUGUGAAUUGCAGAAUUCAGUGAAUCAUCGAAUCUUUGAACGCACAUUGCGCCCGCCAGUAUUCUGGCGGGCAUGCCUGUUCGAGCGUUAUUUCAACCCUCAAGCUCAGCUUGGUGUUGGGACUCGCGGUAACCCGCGUUCCCCAAAUCGAUUGGCGGUCACGUCGAGCUUCCAUAGCGUAGUAAUCAUACACCUCGUUACUGGUAAUCGUCGCGGCCACGCCGUAAAACCCCAACUUCUGAAUGUUGACCUCGGAUCAGGUAGGAAUACCCGCUGAACUUAAGCAUAUCAAUAAGCGGAGGA
This 333-nucleotide unclassified non-coding RNA is filed under the name soil metagenome. RNAcentral describes it as "partial contains 5.8S ribosomal RNA, internal transcribed spacer 2, and large subunit ribosomal RNA". The stretch from base 1 to 120 matches the Rfam family "5.8S ribosomal RNA", at positions 35 to 154 of the family's 154-position model. The record is from RNAcentral.